CCAUUUCUUAUCCCAACCACAGGUACUGGUGCAUGGGAAAGUGCACUUACCAACACAUUGUCUCCUGGAGAUCGGAUUGUCUCUUUCCUGAUUGGACAAUUCAGUUUGCUCUGGAUCGAUCAGCCAGCGACUUGGCUUCAACGUUGAUGUUGUCGAAAGCGAGUGGGGUCAAGGUGCCAACCUUGACAUUCUGGCAUCAAAACUGGCAGCAGACACUGCACACACUAUUAAGGCUGUUUGCAUUGUUCAUAAUGAGACAGCAACUGGAGUUACCAACAAUUUGGCAAAAGUGAGAAGAAUACUUGAUGACUACAGUCAUCCAGCUCUCUUUCUUGUUGAUGGAGUAUCCUCCAUAUGUGCU
RNAcentral lists this unclassified non-coding RNA (361 nucleotides) under Hevea brasiliensis (rubber tree). Lineage: Eukaryota; Viridiplantae; Streptophyta; Magnoliopsida; Malpighiales; Euphorbiaceae. The record is from RNAcentral.